Molecule: ribosomal RNA, 443 nt
Filed under: uncultured bacterium
Lineage: Bacteria
Description: partial 16S ribosomal RNA
Rfam family: Bacterial small subunit ribosomal RNA
Source: RNAcentral
CCUACGGGCGGCAGCAGUGGGGAAUAUUGGGCAAUGGGCGCAAGCCUGACCCAGCAACGCCGCGUGAAGGAAGAAGGCUCUCGGGUUGUAAACUUCUUUUAACAGGGACGAAGAAAGUGACGGUACCUGAUGAAUAAGCCACGGCUAACUACGUGCCAGCAGCCGCGGUAAUACGUAGGUGGCAAGCGUUAUCCGGAUUUACUGGGUGUAAAGGGGGUGUAGGCGGGAGAGCAAGUCAGACGUGAAACUCCAGGGCUCAACCCUGGAACUGCGUUUGAAACUGUUCUUCUUGAGUGUUGGAGAGGCAGGCGGAAUUCCGUGUGUAGCGGUGAAAUGCGUAGAUAUACGGAGGAACACCAGUGGCGAAGGCGGCCUGCUGGACAGUAACUGACGCUGAGGCGCGAAAGCGUGGGGAGCAAACAGGAUUAGAUACCCUUGUAGUC